Molecule: non-coding RNA, 21 nt
Filed under: Rattus norvegicus (Norway rat)
Lineage: Eukaryota; Metazoa; Chordata; Mammalia; Rodentia; Muridae
Source: RNAcentral
UUACAUUGCUUGCUACUCAGU